RNAcentral lists this ribosomal RNA (450 nucleotides) under uncultured bacterium. RNAcentral describes it as "partial 16S ribosomal RNA". It matches the Rfam family "Bacterial small subunit ribosomal RNA", at positions 354 to 796 of the family's 1533-position model. The record is from RNAcentral.
GUGGGGAAUCUUCCGCAAUGGACGAAAGUCUGACGGAGCAACGCCGCGUGAACGAUGACGGCCUUCGGGUUGUAAAGUUCUGUUAUACGGGACGAAUGGUACGACGGCCAAUACCCGUCGUAAGUGACGGUACCGUAAGAGAAAGCCACGGCUAACUACGUGCCAGCAGCCGCGGUAAUACGUAGGUGGCAAGCGUUGUCCGGAAUUAUUGGGCGUAAAGGGCGCGCAGGCGGCGUCGUAAGUCGGUCUUAAAAGUGCGGGGCUUAACCCCGUGAGGGGACCGAAACUGCGAUGCUAGAGUAUCGGAGAGGAAAGCGGAAUUCCUAGUGUAGCGGUGAAAUGCGUAGAUAUUAGGAGGAACACCAGUGGCGAAAGCGGCUUUCUGGACGACAACUGACGCUGAGGCGCGAAAGCCAGGGGAGCAAACGGGAUUAGAAACCCCAGUAGUCC